Long non-coding RNA from Macaca fascicularis (crab-eating macaque), 3063 nucleotides. NCBI's taxonomy places the organism in Eukaryota, Metazoa, Chordata, Mammalia, Primates, Cercopithecidae. The record is from Ensembl.
CAAUUUAAAGGUGAGUAGGCUUCCUUAAUGCUUCAUAAAAUGCCAGUAUGGCUGCUGGACCCGUGCUGAGGGGACUCUGGCCUCGCUGCACUCAUGGCUUCUCCUAGCAAGGCAGUGAUUGUUCCCGGGAAUGGAGGCGGGGAUGUGACCACCCACGGCUGGUAUGGCUGGGUGAAAAAGGAGCUGGAGAAGUUACAGCAUGAGAGAGCAUCUGGUUGCCCUUCAUGGAGACAGAGCUGCACUGUGAUGAGAAGACCAUCAUUAUCGGCCACGGUUCUAGGGCCAUCGCAGCCAUGAGGAUACUUCACCCGCCCCUGGCAGUGGGAGAAGAUCAAGGCCAACUGCCCUUACGUUGUGCAGUUUGGCUCCACUGACGACCCAUUCCUUCCCUGGAAGGAACAACAAGAAGUGGCCGAUAGGUUGGAAACCAAAUUGCACAAAUUCACUGACCGUGGCCACUUUCAGAACACAGAGUUUCAUGAACUGAUUACUGUGGUAAAGUCUUUGCUGAAAGUACCAGCAUAGACUGUAUGACUUUUGCUAUUUCGCAUCCCAAUAUAGGGGUAGAAUAAUAUCUACUAUCAGCCGAUUACUAGACACAUGAAACAUCCAGUUAAGUUCCAAAAGUGCCUGAAAAACAAACACAAGUUUCAACGUUCAAUCUAAGUUACAAAUAGCGUUUCCAUUUUCCAUAGACUCUAAAACUCCCCAAAUUGCUGUGAGCUACCACAGUAUUUUCCUCAUUUGGUAAGAAACGUAAGGACAGCUUAACUGCCCUUCUCUAACCAAAGUAAGUCAAAAAUAGCACCCAGGUUUCCUGAUUCCUACUCCUGAGUAAAACGAAACAGGUUUUAUGUAUGUUGCAGGUGUCGCACACUUUGCCUCUUUGAAAUCAAACUUUUCUAUUUCACUGGGGAAAGAAAACAUGACUGAAAGUCCAGAGUGUUAGCUUAGAGCUCAAAAUACUAGCUGCUGUUUCAAGCUGGCCCCGGACAUUAAACCCAGACUAGGGCCUACACCUCUGACACUUGCCCCUGAGUCCUUCAGACAUGUUGAGAGAGACUGAGACAGGAGUCUUCCAGAGUCAGGAAGGAAGGAGAAGCACAGCAAUAUACAUACAUAAUAUACGUACGACUGACUAGAUUUGUUUGAGACAAGCGUGGUGGGAUCAGGGCCAUAUGGAGAGCUCAUGGCCUGUCUAAAUUGUUGCUAUGUGGAAAUUGGGCAGAGUGUUACCAAUUUUCUGAUUUUUUGUGUGGAAAAAAAGGUCCAAAUUAUGGUUUUUAAAUUUGGGGACUAUAUAUAUAUAUACAUACACACACAUACACAUACAAUCCAUAUACAUAUGAGUAUGUAAGUUGGCAGUAAGAGUAUACAUCAAAAAAUUUACAAAUACUGCAAGACAAAUAAAAUCCAAGCCAUCCAUUUGUGACUACAGUCAUAAGCAUUAACUUAGCCAGGGGCUUUUAGAUAAUUAUCUGUGAAGUCUAAGAAAAGACUAAGAUAACCAAAAUGAACAUAAUGUCAAAGGAUGAAAUCAUGAGGACAAUUUGGGUUUUGUUCCAAAGUCAAGUGCUUUUAAAAAGAACCUGUCCCUACUUCAUGUUCUGUUCUAUAGAGAACAGAACGUCCGUGGCCCUUUAGAGCUCUUUCAAGCACAUUCCAUUUUCUUCUGAUCAUACUUCCUCAAAAAGCCUUUUAUUUGGCUGGGUGUGGUGGGUCAUGCCUGUAAUCCCAGCACUAUGGGAGGCUGAGGUGGGUGUAUUGCUUGAGGCCAGAUGUUUGAGGCCAGCCAGGGCACAUGGUGAGACCCCAUCUCUACAGAAUAUUAAAAAAUUAGCUGGGCAUGGUGGUGCACGCCUGUAGUCCUAGCUACUUGGGAGGCUGAGGCAAGAUUGCUUGAGCCCAGGAGUUUGAGCCUUCAGUGAGCUGCGAUCCCGUCACUGUACUCCAUCCUGGGUGAUGGAGCAAAGAACCUGUCUCUAAAAAAAAAAAAAAAAAAAAAAAAAAAAAAAAAUUUAAAUAAAGAAACCUACCCUUUCUCAUUUCUCAACAUUUUUUGGCUAUUAUGAUCUCUAAGUGUUACUUCAAAUAAUUUCCAGUGAAUCCACACUUGAUGUUGCAGAGCCUGAAUUUGCUGCAGAAAUAUAAUUUCCUGUACUUCAUGCCUAAAGGAGAUUCAGAGCUAUCACUUAAAACCAAAAGUCUUGGUUUUUAAAUGUGCUUAGACAAAAAAAAAAAAAAAAAGAAAAAAAUCAGGAAAGGUACCUAAUCGUUUAACAGCAGUCGUCUUUGGGGAAUGGGCAUUUUGGUAGGUACAGUGUGGUGGACGUCCUUCUUCUUAUUUAUUUAUUUUUUUUGAGACAGUGUCUUGCUCUGUCGCCCAGGCUGGAGUUCAGUGGCACAAAUCUCAGCUCACUCUAACCUCCGCCUCCCGGGUUCGGGUGAUUCUCACGUCUCAGCCUCCCAAGUAGCAUGAACUGGGGGCGUGCGCCACCACGCCUGGCUAAUUUUUGUAUUUUUAGUAGAGAUGGGGUUUCACCAUGUUGGCUAGGCUGGUCUCGAACUCCUGGUCUCAGGUUAUCCACCCACCUUGGCCGCCCAGAGUGCUGGGAUCACAGGCAUGAGCCACCAUGCCUGGCCCCUUAUUUUACUUUAUCUUCCUAAGAGAUUAUUUGAAUUUGUUACACUAAACAUGUAUUUUAUAAUAAAAAAUAAUUAAGAUUUAAAACAAUGUAUUUGACUACUAAAAAGCAAAUUAUAUAAGUCAGUUGGAUAAUAAUGUAGUUAAAGAGGCUGUUUAGCACGAAUUUGACCAAAUCUGUAGUCAAAGUUUGAUUCUACUUGAAUUUUUUGGAAAUUUGCUGUUGUGUUUCUUACUCUUUGUCUUGUUCUCUGUGAAGUCCUUUCGUAAAAAAACAAACUUACACAAUUUAGUUCACAAAACUUUGUUGACCUCUCUGUAGAAAUGAAAACUAAAUAUAUGUAAUUGAGAAAUAAAAAAAAAAUGCCACUAUGACUCUUAACUGUACAACUUGCUCUCUUUACAGCUAGGUAAGGCCU